RNAcentral lists this ribosomal RNA (406 nucleotides) under uncultured bacterium. Its description in RNAcentral is "partial 16S ribosomal RNA". It matches the Rfam family "Bacterial small subunit ribosomal RNA", at positions 30 to 526 of the family's 1533-position model. The record is from RNAcentral.
AUUGAACGCUGGCGGCAGGCCUAACACAUGCAAGUCGAGCGAGCGGCGGACGGGUGAGUAAUGUCUGGGAAACUGCCUGAUGGAGGGGGAUAACUACUGGAAACGGUAGCUAAUACCGCAUACCCUCAGAUGUGCCCAGAUGGGUUUAGCUAGUAGGUGGGGUAAUGGCUCACCUAGGCGACGAUCCCUAGCUGGUCUGAGAGGAUGACCAGCGACAGUGGAACGACAACACGGUCCAGACUCCUACGGGAGGCAGAAUGGGGAAAUAUUGCACAAUGGGCGCAAGCCUGAUGCAGCCAUGCGGAGUGUGUGAAGAAGGCCUUCGGGUUGUAAAGCACUUUCAGCGGGGAGGCGUUACCCGCAGAGGAAGCACCGGCUAACGCCGUGCCAGCAGCCGCGGUAAUAC